AGACACAGGCAGAGGGAGAAGCAGGCUCCAUGCAGGGAGCCCGACACAGGACUCGAUCCGGGUCUCCAGGAUCACACCCCGGGCCGAAGGCAGGCGCCAAGCCGCUGGGCCACCGGGGCUGCCCCCGACUCCUAUUUGUAAAAGCAUUGACACUGCUAAGUUCAGACACCCCAGCAAAAAAUCAGAGGCUGGCUUUCUCUUUUCACUGGGCAAAUGGACGCUGAGAAGGAAAGUAGCCUACCUGAGGAUAUGAUCAGAAGUUGAGGCUUUGGUGCCACUCCCUACUUGGACUCUGGAGGCCUCACAGUGUUUGCUGAUCCUGUGUGCUAUCCACGGGUCCUGACCAGGCUCACAACGUGUAAGUGGGUCAGUCUUAGCUCCUUCUCUGACCCUCCAUUUCUCGGGAGCUUGUGGGCUUGGUGGUCAGCAGCUGUAAACAUGCACCCUGCAAGGGCGAUAGCUCUAGUGAUUAUGAACAGGAUCAUUCCGAGCAUCUGGAGUUCACUUCCAAGCCAUGGUCCCCAAGACCCAAACCAAUCCAAAUCGAUCAUGUCAAAGACCCUAAACCUGAAGGAGCCACUUUUGUGAGUGUAGUGGCUUAUUCAGUGACUUUAUGUAGCUGAGUUUCAGGGCUUCCCCAGAAAUGUCAGUCCAAGUGCAUCAGGUGGUGUUGGCCACGGCACAGGCACCUCCUUGUUCAGCCAAGAGAUCAUCCAGAGCUAUGCUAUCAUUGGGAACAACACUGGCCUUGCAAAGAUGGCAACCACUGGUGAGAUGUUUUUGUGACUUUCCAUCCGAUUUAGAUAAUCAUAAGAACGUGGGGGUGUAACUGUCCUAUGAUGUGCAUAUUUAUUUGUGUUUAAUUGGGCAGGUGCAGUUAUAAUUGGAGAAAGAUAAAACAAGGCACUGGAUGCUGUGGCCAUGAGAGAUUUCUUAAGUGACUUCUAAGGUGGAGGGAGGAAUAGUUAGAAAGGAGAUUGGUCACAGGGAGGACCAGAGGUCUCUAGCAUCACGGACAGAUAGGAGUUUUUUUAUGACAGAUCCAGCAGUCUGAAAGGUUACCCCAGGAGAUACAAAAGAUGGUGUUAUCUUUCAAGGCCAAUGCCAGUGUAAAGGAGAAGAAAGAGAAAAGAGUGUUUCAUGUUUACAGUAUGAGGGCUUGAUCUGGCAUCUCGGAAAGAAGCAGUUUACAUCUAUGAUGUGGCUACUUCUCUUCCUCAUCAGUUUGCUUCAGAGGUCUCCAGGGUCUGCAAAGGACCGGAUGUCAGGUGGAGCCUUCUUUAGCUGAGAUGUGUACCAAACAUUCAAGUCACUAAUGUGUGGCUGCCAUCUGAGUAGUGAGGACAACUGGUGGUCCUUCCAUGGGGAUUUGAGAGCAGGCUUUGUUCCCAGUGAUUGCAAAUCAGAAGGGUGGGAGAGGAUAGGAAACAUUAGUUUGGAGAGUCAUAGCCAGAUAUUUCAGCUAGAAGAAUUCGAGAUCCAGUCCAGUUUACAGGUAUAGAACAAAUCCUCAAAGACAGCAAGACUAGAAUUUAAUGUCUACACAGGUGCAAACAUAAUUUUUCUCUCCAUAAUCACUUUUUUCCUCCCAGAUAAUCACAGUAAAAUGAUUUGUUUUUAUUAAACCAGGUCUGAUUAUUUACAUAGCGCAGCAAGAAGAGCAAUUGACCAUGUAAACUCUUUUAAAGGCUGCUUUGCUUGGACUUUUUCAUUAGGAAUUUCAGAUUGAGGGGGCCCUGGGUGGUUCAGUGGUUGAGCGUCUGCCUUUGGCUCAGGUCAUGAUCCGGGGUCCUGAGAUUAAGUCCCACAUCAGGCUCCUUGCAGGGAGCCUCCUCUGCUUCUCUCUGCGUGUCUCUCAUGAAUAAAUAAAUAAAAUCUUAAAACAAUCCAGCCAAAAACAAAACAAAACAAAACUACCAAACAACAACAACACCCCCCCCCAAAAAAAAAGGUAUUUCAGAUUGAACUUUUAAAAGCUUCUGAGGCCAGGAAGCCAAGCCGA
Canis lupus familiaris (dog) is the source of this 2002-nucleotide long non-coding RNA. RefSeq lists it as uncharacterized. The record is from RefSeq and is a predicted model, not a curated record. NCBI's taxonomy places the organism in Eukaryota, Metazoa, Chordata, Mammalia, Carnivora, Canidae. The transcript is spliced from 2 exons.